GACGUAGGGCGCGAGCGUUGUCCGGAUUUAUUGGGCGUAAAGAGCUCGUAGGCGGCUUGUCGCGUCGUCCGUGAAAACCCACAGCUCAACUGUGGGCUUGCGGUCGAUACGGGCAGGCUAGAGUUCGGUAGGGGAGACUGGAAUUCCUGGUGUAGCGGUGAAAUGCGCAGAUAUCAGGAGGAACACCGGUGGCGAAGGCGGCCAUCUGGACCGCAACUGACGCUGAGGCGCGAAAGCGUGGGGAGCAAACAGG
RNAcentral lists this ribosomal RNA (253 nucleotides) under uncultured bacterium. RNAcentral describes it as "partial 16S ribosomal RNA". It matches the Rfam family "Bacterial small subunit ribosomal RNA", at positions 524 to 776 of the family's 1533-position model. The record is from RNAcentral.